This 465-nucleotide ribosomal RNA is filed under the name uncultured bacterium. RNAcentral's name for it is "partial 16S ribosomal RNA". It matches the Rfam family "Bacterial small subunit ribosomal RNA", at positions 338 to 795 of the family's 1533-position model. The record is from RNAcentral.
CCUACGGGUGGCAGCAGUAGGGAAUCUUCCACAAUGGGCGAAAGCCUGAUGGAGCAACGCCGCGUGGGUGAAGAAGGUCUUCGGAUCUUAAAACCCUGUUGUUAGAGAAGAAAGUGCGUGAGAGUAACUGUUCACGUUUCGACGGUAUCUAACCAGAAAGCCACGGCUAACUACGUGCCAGCAGCCGCGGUAAUACGUAGGUGGCAAGCGUUAUCCGGAUUUAUUGGGCGUAAAGGGAACGCAGGCGGUCUGUUAAGUCUGAUGUGAAAGCCUUCGGCUUAACCGGAGUAGUGCAUUGGAAACUGGGAGACGUGAGUGCAGAAGAGGAGAGUGGAACUCCAUGUGUAGCGGUGAAAGGCGGAGAUAUAUGGAAGAACACCAGGGGCGAAAGCGGCUCUCUGGUCUGUAACUGACGCUGAGGUUCGAAAGCGUGGGUAGCAAACAGGAUUAGAUACCCCUGUAGUC